RNAcentral lists this ribosomal RNA (465 nucleotides) under uncultured Paraglomus. Its description in RNAcentral is "SSU rRNA". It matches the Rfam family "Eukaryotic small subunit ribosomal RNA", at positions 569 to 1039 of the family's 1831-position model. The record is from RNAcentral. Lineage: Eukaryota; Fungi; Glomeromycota; Glomeromycetes; Paraglomerales; Paraglomeraceae.
AGCAGCCGCGGUAAUUCCAGCUCCAAUAGCGUAUAUUAAAGUCGUUGCAGUUAAAAAGCUCGUAGUUGAAUUUCAGGCCUGGCUGGACGGUCCGCCCUUCGGGUGAGUACUGUCUGUGGUCGGGUCCUACCUUCUGGCGAAGCGUCAUGGCCUUAACCGGCCGUGGCGGGGAACCAGGACUUUUACUGUGAAAAAUUAGAGUGUUCAAAGCAGGCAAUCGCUUGGAUACAUUAGCAUGGAAUAAUGGAAUAGGACAAUGGUUCUAUUUGUUGGUUUCUAGGACCGUUGUAAUGAUUAAUAGGGAUAGUUGGGGGCAUUAGUAUUCAAUUGUCAGAGGUGAAAUUCUUGGAUUUAUUGAAGACUAACUACUGCGAAAGCAUUUGCCAAGGAUGUUUUCAUUAAUCAAGAACGAAAGUUAGGGGAUCGAAGACGAUCAGAUACCGUCGUAGUCUUAACCAUAAACUA